GCAGCACCCAUCCCUUCCCAGGUCCCUGAACCCCAUCGUCAAGAACAGGGAGGAAUCUAGACAACAGGGAAAAAACGAAAGGUCAGCUCUGAGUUUGGCAAGAGGGCAAAGGUGCUCCGACCUGCACAUCAGGGCUCCUCCCCUGCCGCCACCAUUCCCACAGCUGGACAUCAGGCACAGCAACUUCCUAGAUCUUCUUAAUCUCAUAUUCCUAACUAUACUGACUUGUCCAUGCAUGUUCCUAAACAAAUGUGCUUGAUCACUGGCCGGAGAUAACUAGCUCGCCCAACAAUAAUUCUCUUACACAGAGCUUUUGGGAAAUAAGGCUUGCAUUCUUGAACUGAGGUGAUCUUUCUGUCUUAAUUGCUUUUCAGCAGACUACAAACUGUAAUCUUUCCACUUAAAAGGUGUGCACCCUGAGAAAUAAAUCCAAGCAAUGCACCAUCCGUACUGAAAACUUUGUUAAUUAACCAUCUUGACUACAUCUUUGUGACCAAGUUUCUCAUUGCAGUAAAAGAUUUUAUGCUAGUUAAUUAGAGCUACUGAAGGUUUGAGCAUGUAUCAACUACCAGUUGGGUAUGGAAAACCUUUUUACAUCAUGCAGUGAAUGGCUAGUAACUGCCUAUGCCUUCAAAUAAAUUGGAUGUAGUGGACAGUUUUGAUAGCAGUUAACUUGCAUGCAGUUUACUUUUUCUUUAGUGAACAAGGAGUUGCCUAAACUUGUAUUCCAACUGGGCUCAUUUUCGCUUCCAGUUUGCUGAUCAUUGAUUUGCAGUAGUAGGGAGUCCUUUGGACCGCAUUUCUUCAGAUCACAAGAACAGGAGCCUUGAAAGAGCAGCCUAGUUGAAGAUGGUAUUUCAAAAUGGUAGAUGUUAGACUGCAAUCGAAGAAGCUGCAGCAGCAGGAUUGCUAAGCCACGUAGAAGGAAAAAUGAGGAGAAAAAGUGAUUCCAAGUACAGUGCUAAUAGAUUAGUGUGGUUCUGUAAUGUAAUCCAUUUUAGUCUUUCCGAGCACUUGCCGAUGUCAUCAUCGGAUGCUGAAGUAUAGUUGUAACACAUAUUUGGAUUUCGAUUUAUGGUGUUGCAAAAUCUGGAACA
Long non-coding RNA from Panicum virgatum (switchgrass), 1097 nucleotides. RefSeq lists it as uncharacterized. NCBI's taxonomy places the organism in Eukaryota, Viridiplantae, Streptophyta, Magnoliopsida, Poales, Poaceae. The record is from RefSeq and is a predicted model, not a curated record. The transcript is spliced from 2 exons.